Molecule: ribosomal RNA, 437 nt
Filed under: Nassarius semiplicatus
Lineage: Eukaryota; Metazoa; Mollusca; Gastropoda; Neogastropoda; Nassariidae
Description: partial 16S ribosomal RNA
Rfam family: Bacterial large subunit ribosomal RNA
Source: RNAcentral
GCCGUGCAAAGGUAGCAUAAUCAUUUGCCUUAUAAUUGAAGGCUAGUAUGAAUGGUUUGACAAGAAUGUAACUGUCUCUUUAUGAUUAAAUAGAAUUUUAUUUUUAGGUGAAGAAGCCUAAAUUUUAUUAAAAGACAAGAAGACCCUAUCGAGCUUAAAAAGAAUUAAUAGAAUUAAAAUUUAUAUAAUUAAAAAAUUAUCUAUUACAAAUUUUAGUUGGGGCGACUGAGGAACAAAAAAAGCUUCCUUUAUCUAAUUUUAAUGUCAUACUAGAGAUGAUCCAAAUUUUUUUGAUUAAAGGAAUUAGUUACCGUAGGGAUAACAGCAUUAUCUUUUUUAAGAGCUCAUAUCGAAAAAAAGGUUUGUGACCUCGAUGUUGGACCAGAAUAUCCUAAAGGUGCAGCAGCCUUUAAGGGUUGGUCUGUUCGACCAUUAAA